This 520-nucleotide ribosomal RNA is filed under the name uncultured Diversispora. RNAcentral's name for it is "SSU rRNA". It matches the Rfam family "Eukaryotic small subunit ribosomal RNA", at positions 569 to 1087 of the family's 1831-position model. Lineage: Eukaryota; Fungi; Glomeromycota; Glomeromycetes; Diversisporales; Diversisporaceae. The record is from RNAcentral.
AGCAGCCGCGGUAAUUCCAGCUCCAAUAGCGUAUAUUAAAGUUGUUGCAGUUAAAAAGCUCGUAGUUGAACUUCGGGGUUUACCCAUUGGUCAGGCUUAAUUGUCUGUACUGGUGAGAUAAAUCUCUACCUUCUGAGGAACUUUCAUGUCAUUAAUUUGGUGUGAUUGGAAAUCAGGACUAUUACUUUGAAAAAUUGAGUGUUUAAAGCAGGCUAACGUCUGAAUACAUUAGCAUGGAAUAAUGAAAUAGGACGGACUGAUUCUAUUUCGUUGGUUUCUAGGAUCACCGUAAUGAUUAAUAGGGAUAGUUGGGGGCAUUAGUGUUCAAUUGUCAGAGGUGAAAUUCUUGGGAUUUAUUGAAGACUAACUACUGCGAAAGCAUUUGCCAAGGAUGUUUUCAUUAAUCAAGAACGAAAGUUAGGGGAUCGAAGGCGAUCAGAUACCGUCGUAGUCUUAACCAUAAACUAUGCCGACUAGGGAUCGGAUGAUGUUUAAUUUUUAAUGUACUCAUUCGGCGUAC